UAAAAACUUAGUCUUGGUUUUAUUAUUUUCUACCACUUAAUUCAUACAUGCAAGACUCAUCACCCCAGUGAGGCAGGCCUAUGACCCUUUGCUUAAAAGGCAUAGAGCUGGUAUCAGGCACAUAAAUUAUAGCCCACAACACCACGCUUAGCCACCCUUAAACACCGCAGUAGUUAAUAUUAGGCAAUGAGCGAAAGCUUGACCUAGUCAAAGUAAAAAAUGUGGGCCAAUGCUCGUGCCAGCCACCGCGGUUAUACGGGCCACCAAGAAAAUAAACUCGGCACAAAGGGUGGUUAAAGACUGACUAUCAAAUGAAGUCAAACACUAGCAUAAGUAGUGAAAAGCUGGUUUAGCAUGAAGCCCAUUAUACAAGCAACUCCAUUCACUUGACCCCACGAAAACUAAAGAACAAACUGGGAUUAGACACCCCACUAUGUCUGAUCGUAAACUUUGUACCGCCAGGAGACUACGAGCCACAGCUUAAAAUCCAAAAGACUUGGCGGCACUUUACAACCCCUAGAGGAGCCUGUUUCAAAACCGAUACUCCCCGCUUCACCUCACCCCUUCUAGCCUUUUCAGCCUAUAUACCCCCGUCUCCAGUUCACCUUAAAAAAGAACAAAAUUGAACACAACAUAGCAUAGCCCAACACGGCAGGUCGAGGUGUAGCCAAUGAAGGGGAUGAAAUGGGCUACAUUUUCUUAAAGAAAAAACGAAUUGAACAUUGAAACACGUUCAUGAAGGCGGAUUUAGUAGUAAACAGAGAACAGAGUGCUCUAUUGAACACAAACCUUAAAGUGCGCACAAACUGCCCGUCACCCCCCUCACAAUCACUCAUUACGUAAAUGAGUUCUCUAAGAGGGGGAAAGUCGUAACAAGGUAAGUGUACUGGAAAGUGCACUUGAAUA
RNAcentral lists this non-coding RNA (906 nucleotides) under Batrachomoeus trispinosus (three-spined frogfish). RNAcentral describes it as "12S ribosomal RNA". It matches the Rfam family "Bacterial small subunit ribosomal RNA". Lineage: Eukaryota; Metazoa; Chordata; Actinopteri; Batrachoidiformes; Batrachoididae. The record is from RNAcentral.